AACCUAUGUUGAAGACCUUUCUGCAGGAGCUCCUUGAACCUAUCCUAUAUCUCAAAAUUACACUCCAAUUCUGUUUGCACAAAGGAGGAAAUUUCAUUCUUGAGCUU
Molecule: small nucleolar RNA, 107 nt
Organism: Dioscorea cayenensis subsp. rotundata (Guinea yam)
Lineage: Eukaryota; Viridiplantae; Streptophyta; Magnoliopsida; Dioscoreales; Dioscoreaceae
Source: RefSeq, a predicted model, not a curated record